GAUUAAAUGCUUCACAACAUCACCUGCAAUAUCAAAUGUAAGAAGCGAUACAUAUGAACAAACUGAUGCAGAUGCGAUAAUGCAUUAUGAUAGGACACCAAAAGGAAUGAAACGGUACUAGGAAACAUUUCCAUCAAGCCCAGUUGCAUCUUCCUGUUGUAUGUUCUAACUGAGAAAUGUCCAAACAACUACUGUAUUUAUCUUGAUGCUACUAUUUCCCAUUCAGUCCAUUACAGAGAAUAAAAGUAUCCUUCAUAUACUAUGGAAUCAGGAUGCAAUUUCUAAAUUCCUGCCUUAGAACUUGAAAGAUAAAAGAAAACUGACCCCCAAAUAACUUCUCCGCUGAUUUAACAAGAACUUGACUAA
This 366-nucleotide unclassified non-coding RNA is filed under the name Hevea brasiliensis (rubber tree). Lineage: Eukaryota; Viridiplantae; Streptophyta; Magnoliopsida; Malpighiales; Euphorbiaceae. The record is from RNAcentral.